CACGCCGUAAACGUUGUGCACUAGGUGUAGGAGGUAUCGACCCCUUCUGUGCCGCAGCUAACGCAUUAAGUGCACCGCCUGGGGAGUACGGUCGCAAGACUGAAACUCAAAGGAAUUGACGGGGGCCCGCACAAGCGGUGGAGCAUGUGGUUUAAUUCGAGGCAACGCGAAGAACCUUACCCAGGCUUGACAUCUCGGGAAUUCUUUCGAAAGAGAGAAGUGCCCUUCGGGGAGCCCGAAGACAGGUGU
This 249-nucleotide ribosomal RNA is filed under the name uncultured Candidatus Hydrogenedens sp. RNAcentral's name for it is "partial 16S ribosomal RNA". It matches the Rfam family "Bacterial small subunit ribosomal RNA", at positions 796 to 1041 of the family's 1533-position model. Lineage: Bacteria; Pseudomonadati; Candidatus Hydrogenedentota; Candidatus Hydrogenedentia; Candidatus Hydrogenedentales; Candidatus Hydrogenedentaceae. The record is from RNAcentral.